UACGUAGGGUGCAAGCGUUGUCCGGAAUUAUUGGGCGUAAAGAGCUCGUAGGCGGUUUGUCGCGUCUGCUGUGAAAACCCGGGGCUUAACUCCGGGCCUGCAGUGGGUACGGGCAGACUAGAGUGCGGUAGGGGAGACUGGAAUUCCUGGUGUAGCGGUGGAAUGCGCAGAUAUCAGGAGGAACACCAAUAGCGAAGGCAGCUCGCUGGGACGGUAUUGACGCUGAGGCGCGAAAGCGUGGGGAGCGAACAGG
RNAcentral lists this ribosomal RNA (253 nucleotides) under uncultured bacterium. RNAcentral describes it as "partial 16S ribosomal RNA". It matches the Rfam family "Bacterial small subunit ribosomal RNA", at positions 524 to 776 of the family's 1533-position model. The record is from RNAcentral.